GCGUCGUUAUCCAGUGAGAAUCGGCAUUCUUGGAAUUUCUAAAGAUGGUGUCGGGCAGCCAGAUCAGACCGACCAUAUUGCUGGUUGAAAAAGAGGGAAAUUGAUACAGAGAGAGAGAGGAAAGGAGGAGGAACGAUACCUGCUCCAUUGGCACUGCUCAUCCCGUUCCUCCUUGCACAGAGUCCUCCAGCAGGCCACUAGUAUAAAUGUCUCUCAUUAAACAAUCAUAAAGAGACUUAGGGCCCGACAUCCUCUAGUGCACCCUGUGCUCACUCUUCAGCACCAUGGAGCCCGACUGCCAGUGGCCAUCGAAUAUCAGAACUGGCAGAUCCACCACUGGCCCUGCGCUUUUCAUAGAUGAGAGCAGGUUCACCUUCAGCACAUGUGACUGAUGUGACAGGGUCUGGAGAAGCCGUGAAGAACAUUAUGUUGCCUGUAAUGUCGUUCAGCAUAAACGUGGUGGGUCAAUGAUGGCUGGAGAGGCAUAUCCAUGAAGGUACUCACAGAACUCUACAGGCUAAGUUACGACAGCCUGACUUUCAUGAGGUAUAAGGAUGAAAAUCUUGGACCCAUUGUCAGACACUCCACUGGUAUAGUGGAUCCUGGGUUCCUUCUGGUACUUGACAAUGCAUCCCCUCAUGUGGAGAGAGUAUGCAGGUAAGUGUUCCUUUAUUUAUUUAUUUUUCGAGCUGUAUAAGAGGCAUCACAUACAUUAUAUAUUAUAACAGCCAUCCAAAUAAUGAUGAAUGCACUACAUGAUUUUGUUUUUUUAGCAUUUACAUAAACAUCAGUUGCAACGCUGCAAUAACCAUUCAGGUCGAAAUUUAUGUUUAAUUAACAUAACAUCAGUUUGCUAUAAAUGUGUAACCCAUUAUCAGUGCUAGAUUUGCUGAAAUCAAUUAUAUUAUGUGCAAUCUAAUUAUGUUUGCACUGGUGCAGAAUGCAGGAUAACUGGCCUGAAUCACUGAAGCAGAGGUGGACCAGCAUCGAGUAUGGACAAUACCGGGCAACCCAUCUCUAGUACAAGCAUACAAGUAGAAGGAAAUGACGGAGAACUCCAUCACUUUUUAAACCGAAAAUUUAAAACCCUGGUUUUAGUUCUUGAAAGUCUUCCUUACUGUAAUUUGUUCUUGGGGUCUGCAGGACGCUCACUCAGUAGCAGCAGUUCUUGGUAAGUUUGUUGGUGUUAUCAGGGUUAAUUACGAGCAAGUCAACAAAAGAAAAUCAAUUCAGGCUUCCGUGAAUAUGCCACCAUUACAGCUGGCACAUAAUGAACUCUACUUCAUUACUGCUUCUACUUCAUUGCUGAUCAAGUAGAAUCCUGCGAGCUCUGAAAUAUUGUCUUGCACUUUAUUAUAAUGCUUUGCCAAAAAAAAAAAAAAUCUCAAACUUAAACACAUAUCACUGACUAAUGUACUUCCUCAGGCAAAACCAAUGCCGCAUAGUUGUUAUAAAUAUUUAUAAGUGAAAUAUUUAUAUCUCUCAGACUCUGGGAAAUUGGUCGCUGGGCUACAUCUUCAAUCCUUCAAGAAGAAAAAUGAUUUUUUUUUUUUAAAUCUCCAAGUAAUGUGUCCACUUCUGGAGUGGAUCUAAUGCUACUUCAUCACCACAAACAAUGUUUAGUUAUUUACUUUUACUCUCCUCAUCUGCACUACUGCUCUCCACCCCACCCCACCUUGUCCCCAAAGAAACACAUUGACCCAGAAUGCAAUGGUGUAGCAUUUUCCUGCCGGCAGCCCUCGCGGUGAUGCUCCUUGUGUGUGUGACGGGCUGAAAAAAACGGUAAACACGAUCAUUCAUCCGCCGCUUUGGGGUGAUGAUGAACUUCUGUCAUACGUGUAAUAAACAAAACUGUCCUGUACCUGAGGAUAUGAGUGGCAUUUUGAAGAUUGCUUUUGUGUAUGUGUGUGUGUAUGGAGCUAAUUUCAUAAACAUGCUUUUGUAUUGUUCAUUCCUAGGAAUCAAAUAGAAGGACCUUUUGAAAGAAACAAAAGAAAGCCAUUUGCAUACCUGGCUGUUUACUCGAACGCAGUUUGUGAGGGUGUAGGAGGCAAAAAUGAAAAAUGACGCAGACUGCCGGCUGUGCUUCGCUGAACAUCUAUCCUAAGCCCUGCCACAGACUGACAGCCUGUCCAGGGUGUACCCUGCCUUCUCGCUCCAUGGCAGCUGGGAUGGAUGGAUGGAUGGAUGGGUAAUUUAUAAACACAGACAGAUUAUUAUGAACAUGUUGUAACGAAUCUUAGUCAUUCUGUGUCGAUGAGCAUAACUUGGCUGCGACACACCUCUUUGCAAUAGGGGACUUGACUCAGCUGCUUGCCAAUUGCUUGUAUUCUGGUUAUAUUCCUUUAUAAAAGCAAGCAGGACACACAACGACAUCACUCUUUCUCGAAGAAUUUCAGAUUUAUUUUUUCAACUAGUUUCUGUCGCAAGUCUGAAAGUAAGUGGCUAAUGGGAAUUUCUGUUUUAUGUCAGUUCCUGUGUAUGUAGAUGGCAGUUUGCCUCCAUGUUAUUAUAAGAUCAGGUUUUAUUGCUCAGUCCAUCUUUUUUUGCCUAGAGUAAGUGGUUAUAUUUAUGUCACACAAUUGUUGCUACGAUAUAUUUCCACUUGUUCUUUUUUAUUCAUGGCUUACACCGAUUAAACCACAUUGUUUAGACAGCUGAAUACAAUCGUUCAGUGGUCCAAUUGCUUUACCUUUGACAAUGAGCCGGGUAUUACUCUGCACACUUCAAUCUAUCCAACCAUGGGUUGGUCAUUAUAGCAGUUACCCAUGGCACCUAUGGUGUCACAGCUAUGCUAAUCUAAUAGGAACAUCUGCAGUCGAACUGCGAACAGAACAAACAGAGGACAGUGUGACAGAACAGACAUUAGUGUCUGUAAGCUUUGCUACUGCAAAACCAGAACAACCCUGACACCGCCCCUGUGGAUGCAACUACACAAUUCAACACUUUUUCAGGAUAAGGGGAGUGCUAGCAUGUGGCACAGCGCUGUUUUAUUGAUCAUUGCUCAUUGUUUCACUUUGAGCAGAUCAUUUGUACAUUAGGAUCUGCAUAAAACAAAGAGACAGCCAGCAUAAAGCGAAUGCUUCCAAACUCAUCUCUUCAGGGGUAUUCAAGCCCACAUACUCAACAUAUACUGUACAAGAAUGACUCACCAUACAUUCCUUUGCCACCAUAACACUUAUGUUUCUUCAAAGUAAGUCAAAAUGAAUUCGUGAACAUCCAGUAUCAGCAGCUGGAUC
Molecule: long non-coding RNA, 3239 nt
Organism: Oreochromis niloticus (Nile tilapia)
Lineage: Eukaryota; Metazoa; Chordata; Actinopteri; Cichliformes; Cichlidae
Exons: 3
Source: RefSeq, a predicted model, not a curated record